AUUGAACGCUGGCGGCAUGCCUUACACAUGCAAGUCGAACGGUAACGGGCCUUCGGGUGCCGACGAGUGGCGAACGGGUGAGUAAUACAUCGGAACGUGCCCGAUCGUGGGGGAUAACGAGGCGAAAGCUUUGCUAAUACCGCAUACGAUCUACGGAUGAAAGCAGGGGACCGCAAGGCCUUGCGCGGACGGAGCGGCCGAUGGCAGAUUAGGUAGUUGGUGGGAUAAAAGCUUACCAAGCCGACGAUCUGUAGCUGGUCUGAGAGGAUGAUCAGCCACACUGGGACUGAGACACGGCCCAGACUCCUACGGGAGGCAGCAGUGGGGAAUUUUGGACAGUGGGCGCAAGCCUGAUCCAGCCAUGCCGCGUGCAGGAUGAAGGCCUUCGGGUUGUAAACUGCUUUUGUACGGAACGAAAAGCCUUCUUUUAAUACAGGAGGGUCAUGACGGUACCGUAAGAAUAAGCACCGGCUAACUACGU
Molecule: ribosomal RNA, 481 nt
Filed under: uncultured bacterium
Lineage: Bacteria
Description: partial 16S ribosomal RNA
Rfam family: Bacterial small subunit ribosomal RNA
Source: RNAcentral